UCAGAUUAGAACAGCUUAUUUCAUUACUCACAGAACUCAGUAGGCAAAACACAUCAUCCACUCAAAAUCUAACAUUAUGUUAAGCUCUCAAAAGCACAAACUUACUUUCACGGUUUAUGAAUAACCAAAAAACUUCAAUAACAAGUAUAUUACAAAAUGCACUAUAGAAUGUGAAAAAUAGAAGAACAGAAGAAGUUACUUCAACUACAACUUGGAUUCACUCAACUUUCCAUUCAAAAUACAUGCUUGCAAUCAAAUUGUUGUCCAUAGUUGGGAAGAUUACCUGGAUACGACAAUAUAGAAUAAAAAAUUUAGCUUGGGACUAGGAAGAAAAUGGCAGUAAUAGAACUCAGUAAUGCAACAGUAGCAGCAAAUGAAACCUAAACCAAUUCGAAGUUUCUCAAACCGAGAUAUACAACACCAGAAGUUUUCAGCAAUUAUCAACUAUUCAGAAGAAUCACAGAACGAAAACUAAGUCUGAUUUUAGUAUUUUCAACCAGAAAAUUCAAGGAAUUUAAGAGUAAUGCAAUCGUUUCAAUUUUAAAGUUUCUUAAGUCUCAAAAAAUCUCCCUUUAGUCUCAAAUAACGGUGCCUUUAUAGGCAAGCUAUUAGGGCAGCCUAAAAGAAAUCAGAUUUGCACUUCUACUUUUUUGAUUUUUUAUUUUUGCUUAAGUGUCCCUAGUGUAGAACUCAUACUUUCAAUUUAAUCCCCCUUCCCUUUCCUAGAAGCUUCCCGGUUAGUUAAAAAAGAUUCUCUCAAUUAAAAUCUUCCAAAUACCCUUUAAACCCUUGGCAUUUACCACCAGAAGAUCACAUGGGUCAAUUUUGACCUAAGACUUAAACAUGCUUCUUGAAACGGGUCAGGGAUGGCCUUAAAGCCCAAUUAAACAAAAUGCCCAAAUCGAAAAUCGACUUCCGUGGUGCAAAGAAAAAAAAAAGAAAAAGGAAACAUGUCUAGAAUCGAAUGACUUCAGCAUCAAACUGACUUGACAAACAACUUAUGAGAUUAAACUAAAUAGACUAGAAUUAAAACAGGUUAACAAAUCGACCCAAAACAUGAUUAACCUAAUUAGAAAAUUAGAGCAAGAUAGACUCUCAGACGAACACACUUAAUCUAAUUGACUAACCAAAAUUUAGAACCUACUAAUUUGAAUGACACCUAGCAACAAAAGAAAAUGAAUGAACAAGUUGCAAGAAAUGAAAACAGAAUAAGGACUCAAGUAGAACAAGGUUUAAAGGGGGACUGACGAGCUAUGGAAAAAACGGACAUGCAAAUAAAAAAUGAGAAGCAAGUUUUGUUUAUCAGGAGCCACGAAUGAAUCAAUAAAAGCAUCACCUGAUGACUUCACCGGCAUUUUUCGAUUUGAGAUGAAAUUGAUAUCCAUCGCAUGUUCUGUUGAGAACAAGUGAACAACACAAAUUUCAACCCCAAUCGCUUUUGGAAACAUGACAAUUGGGGAGCUUUAGGGAUUUAAAGUUUGGGGUACUGACCUCAGAUCUGAGAUUCGAGGCGACGGAGGGGGAUCUGUGAGGAAUUGUUUUGGGUUUUAGGACGAGGAUGGGAUACCCAAUUUUUUCUAUGUAUUUUUAUAUACAAAAUACUUUCAGAAUAACAUAUAUAUACAUAUAUAAGCAUACCCCGGUGUUUUAGUAUUUUUCU
This 1660-nucleotide long non-coding RNA is filed under the name Nicotiana benthamiana. Its description in RNAcentral is "long non-coding RNA (NBEN_LNC024118)". Lineage: Eukaryota; Viridiplantae; Streptophyta; Magnoliopsida; Solanales; Solanaceae. The record is from RNAcentral.